This 492-nucleotide ribosomal RNA is filed under the name uncultured bacterium. RNAcentral describes it as "partial 16S ribosomal RNA". It matches the Rfam family "Bacterial small subunit ribosomal RNA", at positions 29 to 507 of the family's 1533-position model. The record is from RNAcentral.
AGUGAACGCUGGCGGUAGGCCUAACACAUGCAAGUCGAACGGCAGCACAGUAAGAACUUGCUCUUACGGGUGGCGAGUGGCGGACGGGUGAGGAAUACAUCGGAAUCUACUUUUUCGUGGGGGAUAACGUAGGGAAACUUACGCUAAUACCGCAUACGACCUACGGGUGAAAGCAGGGGAUCUUCGGACCUUGCGCGAUUGAAUGAGCCGAUGUCGGAUUAGCUAGUUGGCGGGGUAAAGGCCCACCAAGGCGACGAUCCGUAGCUGGUCUGAGAGGAUGAUCAGCCACACUGGAACUGAGACACGGUCCAGACUCCUACGGGAGGCAGCAGUGGGGAAUAUUGGACAAUGGGCGCAAGCCUGAUCCAGCCACACCGCGUGGGUGAAGAAGGCCUUCGGGUUGUAAAGCCCUUUUGUUGGGAAAGAAAAGCAGCAGGUUAAUACCCCGCUGUUCUGACGGUACCCAAAGAAUAAGCACCGGCUAACUUCGUG